CUGGCGGCAUGCCUAACACAUGCAAGUCGAACGAAGCCUUCGGGCUUAGUGGCGCACGGGUGCGUAACGCGGUGGGAACCUACCAUCAGGGUUCGGAAUAACAGUUAGAAAUGACUGCUAAUACCGGAUAAUGUCUUCGGACCAAAGAUUUANCGUCCUUUUGACGGGCCCGCGUUGGAUUAGCUAGUUGGUGGGGUAAAGGCCUACCAAGGCGACGAUCCAUAGCUGGUCUGAGAGGAUGAUCAGCCACACUGGGACUGAGACACGGCCCAGACUCCUACGGGAGGCAGCAGUGGGGAAUAUUGGACAAUGGGCGAAAGCCUGAUCCAGCAAUGCCGCGUGAGUGAUGAAGGCCUUAGGGUUGUAAAGCUCUUUUACCAGGGAUGAUAAUGACAGUACCUGGAGAAUAAGCUCCGGCUAACUCCGUG
Molecule: ribosomal RNA, 428 nt
Filed under: uncultured bacterium
Lineage: Bacteria
Description: bacterial SSU rRNA
Rfam family: Bacterial small subunit ribosomal RNA
Source: RNAcentral